AGAGUCAAUAAAGCUAAUCUUGUACAUUUAAGUUGUUUUUUGGGUAGCUUUUUUCCUGUCAUUUGUGAAGGGGGUUAUUUGUGUGUUUUGUUGAUGUUAUAGAGCUACCUUUUUAAAGCUCUUUAGAGAUAAAUGCUCGGCUUUUAUUAUUGUAUUUGGGUGUUAAUUGUGAAGAGCAUUGCUUGGUUAUUGUAUGUGACCGUUAUAAAGGAGAAGCAGAAGCACUGUAAAGGCCCCAAAGGGUCUGUUUUGCAGUAGACUGCUAGAUCUCCUUGUUCCAGAUAGUGAGUAUCCUUAAUUCUUGUCUGAUUGUGUGUUCUCAAACAAAACUAGUUAUGUCACUUUUUU
Molecule: long non-coding RNA, 348 nt
Filed under: Anser cygnoides (Swan goose)
Lineage: Eukaryota; Metazoa; Chordata; Aves; Anseriformes; Anatidae
Description: lncRNA (ENSACDG00005012637.1)
Source: RNAcentral